This is a long non-coding RNA of Hypanus sabinus (Atlantic stingray), 1343 nucleotides long. RefSeq lists it as uncharacterized. NCBI's taxonomy places the organism in Eukaryota, Metazoa, Chordata, Chondrichthyes, Myliobatiformes, Dasyatidae. The record is from RefSeq and is a predicted model, not a curated record. The transcript has 3 exons.
AUAUUUGAAGUCAUUCUGAUGAAGUGUUAUUAAUUGAAUUGUAUUGUAAGCUAUUCCUUACCUGCUGAGUGUUUCUGGUAUUUAUGACAGAAAUUAAUAUAUUCAUGAUUGCUAAGUACCUUCAGGCUAACAGGAGGAAGACAGGAAUAUGGUGUUGGAAUGAAAAUCAGCCGUGGCUGAAUGGUGGGCAGACCAUAUGGAUCGAAUCACCUAAUUCUCUUCCUGUGUCUUAUGUCUUACCAUGACUGAAUGACGGCUCCUUCUUAUCCCAUAUCGUCUGUGUCAUUUAGACCUGCAGUGAGAGAUUUAUUGGAAGAAAAACCACGACUGAAGUCGAGGGAACAGCAACAAGUGAACCAGCCCGAGGAUUGAGAGCACCGACUGGAGAGAACCCAUCUGACUCGGAGAUUCCAGUGAUUCAGUCAGGAGAAAGUUUGCUGUGCGGACCAACCAUUCAUCUGGGCAGGAAACGUUUACAUGGCUUCAAAACUGUGGCACUUCACAUUGACAAUAGAUAAAAGAAAAUCCCAGCUGCACGUCAACAAAGGGUAUUUGUGUGAGAGUGUUCAGUUACUUUGCGGACAGGCACUCUUGCAGCUCAGUGGAAACAGAGAAUAAUACCAAUGGAGAGAGUCAAACUGAGCCAGGUCACAGAUUGGUGACGGCAGAAAUGCCCGAUUCUUAUAGACACAGGAAGAUCAUCAGAGAGUUUGAUGGUCAUUCCAGAUUCCUGCACUGUGCCCAGCUGGAAGAUGAUUUCUCUCUCCAACUUGGGUUGAACCUCACUGUAACAGUGUGAUGCCAGAUCACACCUUGACACCUCAAGUAAUCUCGUCUGACAUAUUGUCCUUCACCCAUUGAUGUACUAUAAAUCUUUUUCAGGUUAAAAACAACAAGGAAAUUAUCUACGGGGAGGUCAAACACAACACGCUGUUUUGUUGUCUAUGUCCAGAUAUUUAAGAAGUGGAACAAGGGAUUUACUCGAUCAUCAUUCCUACUCAGGCUGUGGGGAGUGAUUCACUCGAUCAUUAUUCCUAUUCAGACUGUGGGAGAGAUUCAUCGAUCAUCUGACCGACUGACAUGCUGUCAAUUUACACGGGGGGAAUCCAUUUAUCUGCUCAGUCAUCCACUCUAAUGGCUCACCAGCGAGUUCACACCGGGGUGUGGCCAUUCACCUGCUCAGACUGUGGGAAGGGAUUCAUGUUGUCAGCUCACCUACUGAGUCAUCAGUCAGUUCACACGGGUGAGAGGCCAUUCACCUGCUCUGACUGUGGGAAAGGAUUCACUUUGUCAUCUAAUCUUAAGCUACAUCAGCGAGUUCACUCUGGGGAGAGGCCGUUCAC